Triticum aestivum (bread wheat) is the source of this 1940-nucleotide long non-coding RNA. RefSeq lists it as uncharacterized. Lineage: Eukaryota; Viridiplantae; Streptophyta; Magnoliopsida; Poales; Poaceae. The transcript has 2 exons. The record is from RefSeq and is a predicted model, not a curated record.
UGGUCCGCGUCCGUCGAGGGGUAACCCUGCCCGACCCCUGUCCUUUCCACGGGAAGGAAAGGCACGACCCAAGAGGUCGGGCAGGAUAUCCAUGGCUCGACCGAGACGAGCGAACUCCAGCGCCGUCAGCCAAGAUCCAGCGCCCCCGGCCGCCUCCGAGCUCCACCGCCGGCGACAGAAGUGACGCUCCCGACCCCCUCCCUCCGGUGCUCACGAUCCAACUCCGCCCCUCCAGCGACGGUGACGGACCGCGACCGUCACUGUUCUCCUUCCCCGGAUCUACCCUCCGCCUCGCAGCUUCGAUCCCCUCCGGCGACGGCGAAGGCGUCGGUUCCGCGGACAUAUUCUAUCUCAUUCUUCUCAUCUGCUCAUAUAUUUUGUACAGAAAUAAAAAAAAAUUGCACUACAUAUGUGACAUCAGAUUUCAUAUGUUAUAGGAGGUACACAACACUUUAUUUACCAGAUCAUGAAAGCAAACUUUCUUAUUUAUGUACUUUGCCACAUUCUUGCCAAGUUCCUGCUUUUUAAAUUGGUUGCAUGCCUAGUGUCAUCGUGCUAAACUAGAUACAUGCCUACUGUCUUUGUAUAUGUAAACAUUCGGUCAAAGAAUAAGAUGCGGUCUGAAAAUUCACAUAUGGAAGAGACUAGUCAGCCUGUACGCCUUGUCCUAAUUUUAUUUUUGAAGGAUAUGGUCUGAAAAAUUACAUAUGAAAAUUGUUUCCAUUCAAGUUCUCCCCUUUUGUUUUGUACCAAGCUAUUGAACCAAGGUUUAGGAGCAUCAAAAUUAGAUAAUUAUUCCCAUUCAAGUCCUUGCCACUAUACACUGCAUAGAUUAUUGCUGUUUCUCUUUUUGCCAUCACAAUUACAAUUGGGAGCAGCAAGAUUAGAUAAUUAUUUAGUCAUACUAGUAUGUAUAUUGUCAUAACUUGGACGAAUUAGUGAUCGGUAGUCGCUGCUAACCGGCGUUCUGGUGGAGUGCAAAAGUGGUAGUUACAUUCAGGACAUGAAAAAUUGAGUAUGAAUGUCAGCUUUCUGUAGUUCAGUCAGCUUCCUAUAGGUUUGUUUUUCUCACCCUGCAUAGCUAGCUAGUACAUAUGUAUUCUUCUGUAGUUUCUUGUGCACUCUGCAGAUUUAGAGCUAGGAAGAAGCAGUGAAGGGAGGGACCUCAGUAGGACAGCAUGAGUUGGACGGUCGCUACGAUGUGGGAACUGUUGACCGGUAAACUCUGAAUCAGUUGAGCACCCAAAUGCCAAAUUUUCCAUUGUCAAUCUCUCAAAAUAGAAAUAUGUUACAUAAUUAAAGCCUCUGAGCCCUAUUGAUGCGCAAAGGCAUGGGCGACAAAGUCCGGCCGACCUCAUCGUGAUGCAGGACCGGCGGCCACCCUUGACCCUCUGCUAGAGUUAGGUCCCAUCCUGAGCGGUCCGUUGCUCUGGGCGACAUCGGAGGUGGGCUGGUCGGUGGCAUACAUACUAGAACUUGAGUUGGGAUCACUGCUGGUGCUAGCGGUGUUGAUGGUGCCAUUCACGUCUCGCUGCAAAGUUGUUGAACAAGGCAAGACCGAUCACCCAUGAACUGAAGCACACAUGCGUGUGCAGUGUGAGCUAAGUAAGCUGUUCCCGGCCGAUGAGGAAGAUAAGGACUACUGACCGCUGCCUUACAACUUAUAUCUUCAAGAAGUAUCGCUAGCCCGGACACGAAUAUUUGAUAAUCGAUAACUUUUUGUAUGGAGAGAGAGGUCUGCGACAACCUCACAAUUCUUGUAUGAUUCAUUUGUAUCGGUGUUGGCUUGACAGUUCUAAAUUUGGGAACCUGUCGAACAAUGAUGGCUAUUCUUAUUCUAGCCCAUGAAAAUGGUCACAUGAUGUUUUUGUUUGUACACGAGAGAUCUUUUUCAGCUGCAACAUCAUAUAUAUUUCAUACUAAAUUCUGACAUUUGUGUA